AGACUCUUUCUUUGCCUCUGCGACUGCAUUGGCUUCAGAAACUGGGGUUGAUCAAGGAGAUCUGAAUUCACUGUUUCUCAUCAGCAACUCAUUAUUUUGCUCAGCGAGCAAUAAACAUGAGUACAGACUUGCAUAUGUCUCAAAGCCUUUUUCACGAUAUUGUUGUUGCAACCACGUGAUAGGUUUGUUCCUAAGGUAUGCAUAUGCAACCCUUUGAUAGAUUCACUUACAUGAAAAAAAAAAAACUUUAAUCUCGCAACACCAGUAACGUCGGUAUCAGUUUCUAAAGCGACCAACGAGUUUGGGUUCGUUUCAAGUAGGAGCUUGAAAUACGGCUGGAUCAAAUCGUAGCUACCCAUAGAUGAUCCCAUUGUGUCCAUCGCUAUCUCUAGCUCUCC
Molecule: long non-coding RNA, 398 nt
Filed under: Capsella rubella
Lineage: Eukaryota; Viridiplantae; Streptophyta; Magnoliopsida; Brassicales; Brassicaceae
Description: long non-coding RNA (CRUB_LNC003044)
Source: RNAcentral